This 495-nucleotide ribosomal RNA is filed under the name uncultured bacterium. Its description in RNAcentral is "partial 16S ribosomal RNA". It matches the Rfam family "Bacterial small subunit ribosomal RNA", at positions 28 to 507 of the family's 1533-position model. The record is from RNAcentral.
GACGAACGCUGGCGGCGUGCCUAAUACAUGCAAGUAGAACGCUGAAGGAGGAGCUUGCUUCUCUGGAUGAGUUGCGAACGGGUGGGUAACGCGUAGGUAACCUGCCUGGUAGCGGGGGAUAACUCUUGGAAACGAUAGCUAAUACCGCAUAAGAGUAGAUGUUGCAUGACAUUUGCUUAAAAGGUGCAAUUGCAUCACUACCAGAUGGACCUGCGGUGUAUUAGCUAGUUGGUGGGGUAACGGCUUACCAAGGCGACGAUACAUAGCCGACCUGAGAGGGGGGUCGGCCACACUGGGACUGAGACACGGCCCAGACUCCUACGGGAGGCAGCAGGAGGGGAACUUUGGGAAUGGACGGAAGUCUGACCGAGCAAAGCCGCGUGAGGGAAGAAGGUUUUCGGAUCGGAAAGCUCUGUUGUAAGAGAAGAAAGAGUGUGAGAGUGGAAAGUUCACACUGUGACGGUAUCUAACCAGAAAGGGACGGCUAACUACGUG